Carassius auratus (goldfish) is the source of this 119-nucleotide ribosomal RNA. NCBI's taxonomy places the organism in Eukaryota, Metazoa, Chordata, Actinopteri, Cypriniformes, Cyprinidae. The record is from Ensembl.
GCUUACGGCCAUACCAACCUGGCUAUGCCCGAUCUCGUCUGCUCUCCGAAGCUAAGCAGGUUUGGGCCUAGUUAGUACUUGGAUGGGAGACCGCCUGGGAAUACCAGGUGCUGUAAGCU